AGAAUCAACGCUGGCGGCGUGCCUAACACAUGCAAGUCGAACGAGAAAGCUGGUAGCAAUACCGGUGAGUAAAGUGGCGUACGGGUGAGUAACACGUGGAUAACCUACCUUCGAGUGGGGAAUAACCCUGGGAAACCGGGGCUAAUACCGCAUAAUAUCCUGAUGCGAUGGCAACGGGAUUGAAUCCUGGAAACGGGGCUCAAAGAGGGGUCCGCGGCUGAUUAGCUAGUUGGUGAGGUAAUGGCCCACCAAGGCUAUGAUCGGUAGCCGGCCUGAGAGGGCGGACGGCCACACUGGAACUGAAACACGGUCCAGACUCCUACGGGAGGCAGCAGUGGGGAAUUUUGCGCAAUGGGGGAAACCCUGACGCAGCAACGCCGCGUGGACGAUGAAGCUUCUUGGAGUGUAAAGUCCUUUCGGCAGGGACGAACUGGGCAACCAGCGGACGGUACCUGAAGAAGAAGCCCCGGCUAACUCCGCGCCAGCAGCCGCGGUAA
This 497-nucleotide ribosomal RNA is filed under the name uncultured bacterium. Its description in RNAcentral is "SSU rRNA". It matches the Rfam family "Bacterial small subunit ribosomal RNA", at positions 26 to 523 of the family's 1533-position model. The record is from RNAcentral.